This 492-nucleotide ribosomal RNA is filed under the name uncultured bacterium. RNAcentral describes it as "partial 16S ribosomal RNA". It matches the Rfam family "Bacterial small subunit ribosomal RNA", at positions 29 to 507 of the family's 1533-position model. The record is from RNAcentral.
AGUGAACGCUGGCGGUAGGCCUAACACAUGCAAGUCGAACGGCAGCACAGUAAGAGCUUGCUCUUACGGGUGGCGAGUGGCGGACGGGUGCUGAAUACAUCGGAAUCUACUUUUUCGUGGGGGAUAACGUAGGGAAACUUACGCUAAUACCGCAUACGACCUACGGGUGAAAGCAGGGGAUCUUCGGCCCUUGCGCGAUUGAAUGAGCCGAUGUCGGAUUAGCUAGUUGGCGGGGUAAAGGCCCACCAAGGCGACGAUCCGUAGCUGGUCUGAGAGGAUGAUCAGUCACACGGGAACUGAGACACGGUCCAGACUCCUAAGGGAGGCAGCAGUGGGGAAUAUUGGACAAUGGGCGCAAGCCUGAUCCAGCCAUACCGCGUGGGUGAAGAAGGCCUUCGGGUUGUAAAGCCCUUUUGUUGGGAAAGAAGAGCAGCAGGUUAAUACCCCGCUGUUCUGACGGUACCCAAAGAAUAAGCACCGGCUAACUUCGUG